Molecule: small RNA, 524 nt
Filed under: Pongo abelii (Sumatran orangutan)
Lineage: Eukaryota; Metazoa; Chordata; Mammalia; Primates; Hominidae
Description: retained intron
Source: RNAcentral
AAAAGCUGAAUCAGGAUAUUUCUGUGUGAAUGCACAUUCCUCACUAAAUCUCUCAGGCAGCUGCUUUAGUCACUGUUACUAACACCUUGCUCUGUCAUCUCUUUGUAUACAUGUCUAAUUUAUCAGUUUCUUGUAGAUUGUCAGCAGCCUGCUGCCUCCGUACCGCCACAGUGCUCACAACUAGCCGGGAGGCAAGACUGCCCGACUGUCAGGUAAAUUCAGAUGUCCUUUCCCUUCCACCCAGCUGCAUGUCAGAUCCAUAGACCCCAGCUCCCCUUUCCGACACUGAACUGCCUAGGCAUCAUUGUAUUUUGCUGUAUUUUAUUUCAAGUGUGGGCUACACAGACACACACUGGACAUGUAGUCCCUGUGUUCCCAGUGGGAAUACAAGAGAGCUGGGGUUUAUUUUGCUGGCUGCCAGCUGGUAGACUACAGGCUGCCUUCAGCCCCUUUGUCUGUGUAAAUACUUGGAUUAGUCCACUGUUUCAUUCCUUUCCAAAAAAUAAAAGCUGGAAUUGUUAUGA